UCUGUCUCUCUCUGUCUUAAAAAUAAAUAAAACAUAAAAAAAAAAAUCAAAAUAUGUCCACAAUUCAACCACUUUGUGUCAUCUCCACUGCUGCUACUUGGAUCUAAGCCAGUCUCAUGUCUGGAUUAUUUCAGGAGUAUCCCAGUUGAGACUGUCCCCCCCCCCCCCCCAUACCCACCUAUUUUUCAUUCUUGGUCCUAUUAUACUGAGUUGCAGCCACAGCGAUCCUGUUAAAUACAACUCAGAUCAUGUUAGUUUUCCUUCUCUCUUUCUUUCUCUCUGCCUGUCAAAAUCAUCCAGUGAUUUCACAGUUCACCCAGAAUAAAAGCCAGAGCCCUUACAAUAGCCUAAGAGAUGCUAUACAAUGUGUACUCCAUCCCCCUCUAUCACCCCACCUCUGUAAAAUCAUCAAACAAGAGACUGUUCUUCCUUGGUUCUGCUCUGACUACACUGCCCCCCUUGCUGUUCACAGAACACAAAACAUGCACACCCACUAGCUUCCUCCCACCAGGCAAGCUUCCACCCUGGUCAUUGCCCUUGACCUCUCCUCUGUCUGGAAUGCUUCUCUCUGGGUUAUCUACUUGGCUUAUUUCCCUCCGUUCCUUUAUGCCCUUACUCAAGUGGUUCCUUCCCAGUAAGGCCCUGGCCUCACCUCCAGCCUUAUCCCCUCCCUUCUCUCCUCUUUGCCUUCAUUGCUUUAUUGUUCCUCUCAGCACUGAUCACCAGUUGACAUACUUGAUGUUCUCCUUAUUUUAUCUUUUCUUUUUUUAAAUUGCUUGUGUUCCUCAACUUGAAUGGAAGCUCUGAGCAAAAUGUUUGUUUUUUUCAUGCUUCUUAAUCUGUUUGGAUAAUAGUUAUCCAAAUCUGGAAGAGUAUCUGACACUUAGUACUUCCUCCAAUGUAUUUGCUGAAGAAAUAAACCAAGGAAUAAAUGAAAUACGGAGUCCUAUUGAUGUCAACUGAGAUUUACUGAGAAAGGUCAUAACAAAUGUUACAGGUUUGUUUUUUGUUUUUUGUUUUUUUUACUUAGAGUCUUAUUACAAUAAAGGAUCUUCAAGGAUUCUCCCCCGCUGAAUAGCUCAAUUUUCUUUUUGGGAACUAGAGAGAAGAUACUGUCUGGACAGGGGAUCCUGGUUCUACCCUUUCUCCUGGAGUACAGUGACAUAAUGUGCUCCUUAGAUAAAAUAUUCAGGGGACAGUUUACCAGCUCUCAUCUCUGAGCUGCUGACAGACUCAAAAUAGAACAUUCUUUCCAUGUCUUUAUAAACCAAGUGUUUCAAGGAAAAGAAUAUCAGAGACAGAGACAGAGCAUGAACGGGGGAGGGUCAGAGAGAGGAAGACACAGAAUCUGAAAC
Felis catus (domestic cat) is the source of this 1355-nucleotide long non-coding RNA. RefSeq lists it as uncharacterized. Lineage: Eukaryota; Metazoa; Chordata; Mammalia; Carnivora; Felidae. The record is from RefSeq and is a predicted model, not a curated record. The transcript is spliced from 4 exons.